Molecule: small RNA, 666 nt
Filed under: Pan troglodytes (chimpanzee)
Lineage: Eukaryota; Metazoa; Chordata; Mammalia; Primates; Hominidae
Description: processed transcript
Source: RNAcentral
GGAGAUCUCCAGGUGGAAGGAGUACUUUACAGCACUGGAGGUGCUAUUUGGAAAGGGGGUUUCAACCCAAUGACUCUAUCAGGCCUGCUGUUUGAUGCCGACCGCGAUGAGGAUGAGGUGUUCUAUGACAUCAGCAUGGCAGUUGACAACAAGUUAUUUCCAAACAAAGAGGCUGCAGCAGGUUCAAGUGACCUUGAUCCUUCGAUGAUAUUGGACACUGGAGAGAUCAUUGAUACAGGAUCUGAUUAUGAAGAUCAGGGUGAUGACCAGUUAAAUGUAUUUGGAGAGGACACUAUGGGAGGUUUCAUGGAAGAUUUGAGAAAGUAUAAAAUUAUUUUCAUAAUUGGUGGUCCUGGCUCUGGCAAAGGCACACAGUGUGAAAAGCUGGUGGAAAAAUAUGGAUUUACACAUCUCUCAACUGGCGAGCUCCUGCGUGAGGAACUGGCAUCAGAAUCUGAAAGAAGCAAAUUGAUCAGAGACAUUAUGGAACGUGGAGACCUGGUGCCCUCAGGCAUCGUUUUGGAGCUCCUGAAGGAGGCCAUGGUGGCCAGCCUCGGGGACACCAGGGGCUUCCUGAUUGACGGCUAUCCUCGGGAGGUGAAGCAAGGGGAAGAGUUCGGACGCAGGAUUGGAGACCCACAGUUGGUGAUCUGUAUGGACUGCUCG